GAGAGAGUGCUUUAUUGAACCAAGUGACAGGUGUUGCAUGGCCGUUGUCAGCUCGUGUCGUGAGAUGUUUGGUUAAGUCCAUCAACGAGCGCAACCCUUAUAGUUAGUUGAAUUUCUCUAGCUAGACUGCCCUGGUAACAGGGAGGAAGGAGGGGAUGACUUCAGGUCGGUAUUGCCCUUACGUCUGGGGCUACAAACACGCUACAAUGGCCGGUACAAAGGGCUGCCAAGUCGCGAGACGGAGCAAAUCCCAUCAAAGCCGGUCCCAGUUCAGAUUGCAGGCUGAAACUCGCCUGCAUGAAGCCGGAAUCGCUAGUAAUGGUAGGUCAGCACACUACCGUGAAUACGUUCCCGGGUCUUGUACACACCGCCCGUCAAACCAUGAAAGUCGCCAAUACCUGACGUGCUAGCUUGCCUAGCCCUAAGGUAGGGGAGAUGAUUGGGGUUAAGUCGUAACAAGGUAACCGUAA
RNAcentral lists this ribosomal RNA (470 nucleotides) under uncultured Candidatus Saccharibacteria bacterium. Its description in RNAcentral is "bacterial SSU rRNA". It matches the Rfam family "Bacterial small subunit ribosomal RNA", at positions 1008 to 1505 of the family's 1533-position model. Lineage: Bacteria; Candidatus Saccharimonadota. The record is from RNAcentral.